Molecule: ribosomal RNA, 497 nt
Filed under: uncultured bacterium
Lineage: Bacteria
Description: partial 16S ribosomal RNA
Rfam family: Bacterial small subunit ribosomal RNA
Source: RNAcentral
GACGAACGCUGGCGGCGUGCCUAAUACAUGCAAGUUGAGCGCUGAAGGUUGGUACUUGUACCAACUGGAUGAGCAGCGAACGGGUGAGUAACGCGUGGGGAAUCUGCCUUUGAGCGGGGGACAACAUUUGGAAACGAAUGCUAAUACCGCAUAAAAACUUUAAACACAAGUUUUAAGUUUGAAAGAUGCAAUUGCAUCACUCAAAGAUGAUCCCGCGUUGUAUUAGCUAGUUGGUGAGGUAAAGGCUCACCAAGGCGAUGAUACAUAGCCGACCUGAGAGGGUGAUCGGCCCCAUUGGGACUGGGACCCGGCCCCACCUCCUACGGGAGGCAGCAGUAGGGAAUCUUCGGCCAUGGACGAAAGUCUGACCGAGCAACGCCGCGUGAGUGAAGAAGGUUUUCGGAUCGUAAAACUCUGUUGGUAGAGAAGAACGUUGGUGAGAGUGGAAAGCUCAUCAAGUGACGGUAACUACCCAGAAAGGGACGGCUAACUACGUG